UACGGGGGGAGCAAGCGUUGUUCGGAUUUACUGGGCGUAAAGGGCGCGUAGGCGGUCAGCACAAGUCACUUGUGAAAUCUCCGGGCUUAACCCGGAGCGGCCAAGUGAUACUGUCGUGCCUAGAGUGCGGAAGGGGCUACUGGAAUUCUCGGUGUAGCGGUGAAAUGCGUAGAUAUCGAGAGGAACACCUGCGGCGAAGGCGGGUAGCCUGGGCCGACACGUGACGCUGAGGCGCGAAAGCCAGGGGAGCGAACGGG
This 257-nucleotide ribosomal RNA is filed under the name uncultured bacterium. RNAcentral's name for it is "partial 16S ribosomal RNA". It matches the Rfam family "Bacterial small subunit ribosomal RNA", at positions 524 to 776 of the family's 1533-position model. The record is from RNAcentral.